This 460-nucleotide ribosomal RNA is filed under the name uncultured bacterium. Its description in RNAcentral is "partial 16S ribosomal RNA". It matches the Rfam family "Bacterial small subunit ribosomal RNA", at positions 338 to 795 of the family's 1533-position model. The record is from RNAcentral.
CCUACGGGAGGCAGCAGUGAGGAAUCUUGGUCAAUGGGCGCGAGCCUGAACCAGCCAAGUCGCGUGAAGGAUGAAUGCCCUACGGGUUGUAAACUUCUUUUAUAAAGGAAUAAAGUGAGGCACGUGUGCCUUUUUGUAUUUACUUUAUGAAUAAGGAUCGGCUAACUCCGUUCCAGCAGCCGCGGUAAUACGGAGGAUCCGAGCGUUAUCCGGAUUUAUUGGGUUUAAAGGGAGCGGAGAUGGGUUGUUAAGUCAGUUGUGAAAGUUUGCGGCUCAACCGUAAAAUUGCAAUUGAUACUGGCAGUCUUGAGUACAGUUGAGGUAGGUGGAAUUCGUGGUGUAGCGGUGAAAUGCUUAGAUAUCACGAAGAACUCCGAUUGCGAAGGCAGCUUACUAAACUGCCACUGACACUGAUGCUCGAAAGUGUGGGGAUCAAACAGGAUUAGAUACCCUGGUAGUC